AUACGGAGGGUGCGAGCGUUAAUCGGAAUUACUGGGCGUAAAGCGCGCGUAGGCGGUUGGGUAAGUCGGAUGUGAAAGCCCCGGGCUUAACCUGGGAAUUGCAUUCGAUACUGCCCGGCUAGAGUAUGGUAGAGGGAAGCGGAAUUCCGGGUGUAGCGGUGAAAUGCGUAGAUAUCCGGAGGAACACCAGUGGCGAAGGCGGCUUCCUGGACCAAUACUGACGCUGAGGUGCGAAAGCGUGGGGAGCAAACAGGAUUAGAAACCCUAGUAGUCC
This 274-nucleotide ribosomal RNA is filed under the name uncultured bacterium. Its description in RNAcentral is "partial 16S ribosomal RNA". It matches the Rfam family "Bacterial small subunit ribosomal RNA", at positions 523 to 796 of the family's 1533-position model. The record is from RNAcentral.